GGUUGACCUCGGAUCAGGUAGGGAUACCCGCUGAACUUAAGCAUAUCAAUAAGCGGAGGAAAAGAAACCAACAGGGAUUGCCUCAGUAACGGCGAGUGAAGCGGCAACAGCUCAAAUUUGAAAUCUGGCCCCUCCCGGGGUCCGAGUUGUAAUUUGUAGAGGAUGCUUCGGGCAAGGCCGCGGUCUAAUUCGCUUGGAACAGCGGGUCACAGAGGGUGAGAAUCCCGUCUAGGACCGUGCGUCGCGCCCGUGUGAAGCUCCUUCGACGAGUCGAGUUGUUUGGGAAUGCAGCUCUAAAUGGGUGGUAAAUUUCAUCUAAAGCUAAAUAUUGGCCAGAGACCGAUAGCGCACAAGUAGAGUGAUCGAAAGAUGAAAAGCACUUUGAAAAGAGAGUUAAACAGUAUGUGAAAUUGUUGAAAGGGAAGCGCUUGCAACCAGACUUGCGCGUGACGGUUCCCCCGGCCUCCUGGCCGGGCCACUCCGUCAUGUCCAGGCCAACAUCGGUUCGGGUGGUCGGUCAAAGACUCCGGGAAUGUAUCUACCUCCGGGUCGACUUAUAGCCCGGGGUGUAAUGCGGCCCACCCGGACCGAGGAACGCGCUCCGGCUCGGAUGUUGGCGUAAUGGUUGUAAGCGGCCCGUCUUGAAACACGGACCAAGGAGUCUAACAUCUAUGCGAGUGUUUGGGUGUCAAACCCCUACGCGUAAUGAAAGUGAACGGAGGUAAGAACCCGCCCCCCCGGGGGAGGGCGCAUUAUCGACCGAUCCUGAUGUCUUCGGAUGGAUUUGAGUAGGAGCAUAGCUGUUGGGACCCGAAAGAUGGUGAACUAUGCGUGAAUAGGGUGAAGCCAGAGGAAACUCUGGUGGAGGCUCGCAGCGGUUCUGACGUGCAAAUCGAUCGUCAAAUUUGCGCAUAGGGGCGAAAGACCAAUCGAACCGUCUGGUAGCUGGUUCCUGUC
Molecule: ribosomal RNA, 957 nt
Filed under: Staurothele fissa
Lineage: Eukaryota; Fungi; Ascomycota; Eurotiomycetes; Verrucariales; Verrucariaceae
Description: eukaryotic LSU rRNA
Rfam family: Eukaryotic large subunit ribosomal RNA
Source: RNAcentral